This 71-nucleotide transfer RNA is filed under the name Sphaerodactylus townsendi. RNAcentral describes it as "tRNA-Ala". Lineage: Eukaryota; Metazoa; Chordata; Lepidosauria; Squamata; Sphaerodactylidae. The record is from RNAcentral.
GGCUUGUGGCUCAGUGGUAGAACCUCGGCCUGGCAUGCAAAAGGUCCUGGGUUCAAUUCCCGGCAUCUCCA